Molecule: unclassified non-coding RNA, 2462 nt
Filed under: Hevea brasiliensis (rubber tree)
Lineage: Eukaryota; Viridiplantae; Streptophyta; Magnoliopsida; Malpighiales; Euphorbiaceae
Source: RNAcentral
AAAAAAAAAAAAAAGGAACAGUUAUCCUAAAAAAGAAAUAAAAAUGGUAUCCUUGAAUCUUUCCCGAUGGCCAAACUGACAGUUCCCCCGAAAUCAGAAGAAUCCUCUCAAAUACUUCUGACUUUUUCUUUCACAUCCCAAGAGAAUGAAUUUCUCUACCACCACCACCUCUUCUCUCUGCCUCACCCCGAUACUUCUGUGGCUCUUUGUGUGACAAAAUCUGCAAGUGUACGUUGUUGAAUGCUUCUCUCUCAUAAAUGCACUUUUGGCCUUCAACUCCUUUUUGGGAUUUUUAAUCUCUCUUUUCUUUUCAUUUUUUUUUAUUUUAUGUUUUUGUCGGUUUCUCCACACUCUAUCUUUCUAGCUAUAUAAUGGUCCCUUUCACUUUUAACCAGAAACCAAUGAUACAAAGAUGGCAAAGGUUAUGCCUUUAAUGAGAUAGAGAGAGAGGUUGUCAUGCAUCUCUUCUGAUAUAACGACAUGAAACUCUAGCUUUAAACCUACCCCAUUUCUUGUGUACGUUCUGGUUUCUUCUUGUUUUUAUUGUUUUUGUUAAUUAAUUGCGAGGCCAUUAUUUGUGUGAAUAGAAAGGGAGGUUUUGGUGGUUUUGGCUCUGUGUCUGGCCAACUGGCGCUGGUUAUUAUGGUUGUUCAAGCACAGUUGUACUCUGAAAGUCUCUCUCUACCCUUCUCUGGUUUGCAGGAUUAUAUGGUUAAUAAUCUUGUUUCUGAGUUUGAAGCCGAUUUGUGCUUCGGUUUUCAAGAGUCCCAGCAGCAGAAUCUCUUUCUUCUACCACAGAGCUCUCAACACUUUGGCUUUGAUUGCAAUAAUAGAGGGGCAGUGCCUUCUUCUUCUUGUUCUUCACAAUCAACUUGUGAUAGUUUCCUCUUAAUGGAUCUUUUUCAGUCUCUUGAUCCUCGUCAUCUUGAAAUACAAAGGCAAGAGUUGGACUGCAUUUUGCAAUUACAGAACGAGAGGCUAAGAUCUGCAUUGCAAGAGCAAACAAGGCAACAACUGGCAAUUCUGCUAAAGAGUGUGGAAUCCAAGGCCAUAUCUUUAAUGAGGCAAAAAGAAGAGGAUUUGGCACGAGCAACAAGGGAAACGAUGGAACUUGAGGCUUGCUUAAGAAAAGCAGAGAUGGAGAGAGAAUCAUGGCAAAGAGUAGCAGGAGAAAACGAAGCAAUGGUCAUAGAUCUAAGCAACACGCUAGAACAGGUCCGAGAGAGACUGUUCUUGGGCAGCACUAGAAGCCAAGAUACGGAGUCCUUUUGCUGUCAUUCAUGCGAGGGAGAACAAGAAGAGGAUAACAGCACAAACAAGAUGGCAUGCUGUAAAGUGUGCAAUUCUAGGGCCUCGUGCGUUCUCUUUCUUCCUUGCAGGCAUCUCUGCUCGUGCAAGUUUUGUGAGGCUUCUCUCGCCUAUUGUCCUAUCUGUGAAUCCGUGAAGGAAGGAAGCAUGGAAGUUCUUUGGGUCUAACAAUUGAGCAAGGCACGAAAAUCAAAAGAAAUGGUAGUGUCUUUCUUUUUUAAGGCCUUCUUGAGGUCUAUAUUUGCAGUUUUUUCUUGAAUCGAAAUGAUAGUAGUAUCAGGAAAGGGUGGGUCAAUUAUAUUUUACAUGAUUUAGCUCAGCAAAGUUGAAACCAUCAUUUAUUUUGAUUCUGUUCUUUUUUGGCUGACAACCCACAAGAAAUGGCAGCCAACUUUAGCCGUAACAAUAUCUGCUAUUGACUGACAGAAAAGAAGUUUUGGCAUAUAUCAAGAACAAAAGAAUUGAACUGUCACCGCCAUUACUUCAAUAUUUGUUGUUUAUUCCAAUGGCUUAUCUCCAAAUUAAACCUGCACCUAACUACGGGUGUGGAGAAACCAUCAUCAUCCAACCCAGCAAGCUGACUACCCAUUUGCUCUUUUGCCAUAAAUGAGGCUUCUGCCCCUCUAUUUGAAUGCCGAGUUAAAAUAUAAAGCCUUGAGAAUAAAGAAAAGAUUUGAAUACAGUUCAAUUUUGUUCUUGUGUAAAAGUGGUAUCGAAUCGAAGGCUUAUGUUACUCACCUUUGGGCCCCUAAUGGUGGGGAGGAUGUGGGGUAGUUCCCACAAUGUAGAAUAUCAAAAGAACUGUUUCCAAAGUUUCAGGGUUGUUUUGUUUGUCUGAGACGAGAUCUCCUGCAGUCCCUUUUGCGGGUGAGGGGUGACUGUGCUUUGCUCCACUCCUGUGUCCAUGUUCCAUAUAAAGAGAGACCAAAAAGCUUAGUUUAGUUUUUGCUUUAUAUGGGGUUAAGGAUAUUGUUAGGCAAAUUUGCAGGAUUGCAGAGGCAAUUGAGCAGGAGUAGUGGGUGGCCGGCACCUCAUCACUGGAAACUAGUGCUGUGCGUCGUAGUUUUUGGGGUCUCAAAUUGAUGAAAAUCAAAUCGAAUCAAAUUUUUUUUUAAAGGAUUUGAUUUGAUUUUAGUUUUUCAUUAAGAAUUCAG